GACGAACGCUGGCGGCGUGCCUAAUACAUGCAAGUAGAACGCUGAAGAGAGGAGCUUGCUCUUCUUGGAUGAGUUGCGAACGGGUGAGUAACGCGUAGGUAACCUGCCUUGUAGCGGGGGAUAACUAUUGGAAACGAUAGCUAAUACCGCAUAACAAUGGAUGACUCAUGUCAUUUAUUUGAAAGGGGCAAAUGCUCCACUACAGGAUGGACCUGCGUUGUAUUAGCUAGUAGGUGAGGUAACGGCUCACCUAGGCGACGAUACAUAGCCGACCUGAGAGGGUGAUCGGCCACACUGGGACUGAGACACGGCCCAGACUCCUACGGGAGGUAGCAGUAGGGAAUCUUCGGCAAUGGGGGCAACCCUGACCGAGCAACGCCGCGUGAGUGAAGAAGGUUUUCGGAUCGUAAAGCUCUGUUGUAAGUCAAGAACGAGUGCGAGAGUGGAAAGUUCACACUGUGACGGUAGCUUACCAGAAAGGGACGGCUAACUACGUGCCAGCCGCCGCCGUAA
This 513-nucleotide ribosomal RNA is filed under the name uncultured bacterium. Its description in RNAcentral is "partial 16S ribosomal RNA". It matches the Rfam family "Bacterial small subunit ribosomal RNA", at positions 28 to 523 of the family's 1533-position model. The record is from RNAcentral.